This 518-nucleotide ribosomal RNA is filed under the name uncultured bacterium. RNAcentral describes it as "partial 16S ribosomal RNA". The record is from RNAcentral.
CCCCGUCAAUUCCUUUGAGUUUUAACCUUGCGGCCGUACUCCCCAGGCGGUCGACUUAACGUGUUAGCUCCGGAAGCCACGCCUCAAGGGCACAACCUCCAAGUCGACAUCGUUUACGGCGUGGACUACCAGGGUAUCUAAUCCUGUUUGCUCCCCACGCUUUCGUGUCUCAGCGUCAGAUUCAGCCCAGUACCCCGCUUUCGCCACCGGCGUUCCCUUGAUAUCUACGCAUUUCACCGCUCCACCCAAAGUUCCGGGUACCCCUGCUGACCUCAAGAAUGGUGGUUUACCGAGCAGUUCCUCGGUUGAGCCGAGGGCUUUCACAAGAUACCUUCCAUUCCGCCUACACACGCUUUAAGCCCAAUGAUUCCGAACAACGCUUGCCUCCUCCGUAUUACCGCGGCUGCUGGCACGGAGUUAGCCGAGGCUUCCUUUGGGGUUGGUCACUUUCUUCCUAACCCCUGACAGUAGUUUACACCCGAAGUGCUUCGUCCUACACGCGGCGUCGCUGCGUCAGG